GGGAAAAAAAGAGGAGAGAGAGGGAGGGGAGACCUCUGGGGGUAGUCCAGAGUCCGGCGAGCUUCGGUCGCCGUCCGUCGAACCGUCCGUCGUGCCGGCGUUGCUCCGGCCACCGUGUACGGUGGCCGGAAGUCCAAAAGGCAGGUAAUUUUCCCCUUUUUUUUGCGUAAAUACGUAUCUAUAUUUUUAUGGUUUUUUUUUAAAAACAUACAUUAUAUACUUAAUUUAUUCAUUAGCCAUUGUAUUCGAAAGAAAAAAGAAGGUGAGAUGAGAACCUUAAGAUCGGCCUGCUUGCUAUUGAUUCAAAUCGUUUUUUUCUCUGUGUAUUCCCUACUGCCCCCUUUUUUACAAAAAUCGAAGAAGGAAAAAAAAGAAAAAAGAACCCCCAUGUGAUUUUUUCAAUCGGCCUUAUAUAGCCAAAAUACAAAAUAAAAUCUCAUUUUGCUAUCCGUAUUUGCUGUUGCUUGUUGGUGUUUGCUGCAGGUACUGGCGGAGCAGUUGGAGCAGGUGAGUCGGUGGCAAGUGGGCAUGGUGACGGCUGUGAACAGAGGGCAGGUG
Molecule: long non-coding RNA, 558 nt
Filed under: Gossypium barbadense (sea-island cotton)
Lineage: Eukaryota; Viridiplantae; Streptophyta; Magnoliopsida; Malvales; Malvaceae
Description: long non-coding RNA (GBAR_LNC010937)
Source: RNAcentral